AUACGUAGGGGGCGAGCGUUGUCCGGAAUGAUUGGGCGUAAAGGGCGCGUAGGCGGCGCGGUAAGUCUGGAGUGAAAGUCCUGCUUUCAAGGUGGGAAUUGCUUUGGAUACUGCCGCGCUUGAGUGCAGGAGAGGUUAUCGGAAUUCCCGGUGUAGCGGUGAAAUGCGUAGAGAUCGGGAGGAACACCAGUGGCGAAGGCGGGUAACUGGACUGGAACUGACGGUGAGGCGCGAAAGUGUGGGGAGGAAACAGGAUUAGAUACCCUGGUAGUCCACACUGUAAACGAUGAAUGCUAGGUGUAAGAGGUAUCGACCCCUUUUGUGCCGGAGUCAACACAAUAAGCAUUCCGCCUGGGGAGUGCGGCCGCAAGGUUGAAACUCAAAUGAAUUGACGGGG
This 397-nucleotide ribosomal RNA is filed under the name uncultured bacterium. Its description in RNAcentral is "partial 16S ribosomal RNA". It matches the Rfam family "Bacterial small subunit ribosomal RNA", at positions 523 to 918 of the family's 1533-position model. The record is from RNAcentral.